UUCUACCUACGGGAGGCAGCAGUGAGGAAUAUUGGUCAAUGGGCGGGAGCCUGAACCAGCCACGUCGCGUGAAGGAAGAAGGUACUUAGUAUUGUAAACUUCUUUUGUCGGGGAACAAAGGCGGAGACGCGUCUCCGGAUGAGUGUACCCGAAGAAAAAGCAUCGGCUAACUCCGUGCCAGCAGCCGCGGUAAUACGGAGGAUGCGAGCGUUAUCCGGAUUUAUUGGGUUUAAAGGGUGCGCAGGCGGGAGAUCAAGUCAGCGGUAAAAUGUCGGGGGUCAACCCCGGCCGGCCGUUA
This 298-nucleotide ribosomal RNA is filed under the name uncultured bacterium. RNAcentral's name for it is "partial 16S ribosomal RNA". It matches the Rfam family "Bacterial small subunit ribosomal RNA", at positions 334 to 629 of the family's 1533-position model. The record is from RNAcentral.